Molecule: ribosomal RNA, 440 nt
Filed under: uncultured bacterium
Lineage: Bacteria
Description: partial 16S ribosomal RNA
Rfam family: Bacterial small subunit ribosomal RNA
Source: RNAcentral
CCUACGAGAGGCAGCAGUGGGGGAUAUUGCACAAUGGGGGAAACCCUGAUGCAGCGACGCCGCGUGUGGGAAGACGGUCCUCUGGAUUGUAAACCACUGUCCCCAGGGACGAAGAUGACGGUACCUGGGGAGGAAGCUCCGGCUAACUACGUGCCAGCAGCCGCGGUAAUACGUAGGGAGCGAGCGUUGUCCGGAAUUACUGGGUGUAAAGGGAGCGUAGGCGGGACUGCAAGUUGGGUGUCAAAUCUACCGGCUCAACCGGUAGCCGCACUGAAAACUGCAGUUCUUGAGUGAAGUAGAGGCAGGCGGAAUUCCUAGUGUAGCGGUGAAAUGCGUAGAUAUUAGGAGGAACACCAGUGGCGAAGGCGGCCUGCUGGGCUUUUACUGACGCUGAGGCUCGAAAGUGUGGGGAGCAAACAGGAUUAGAUACCCCGGUAGUC